GAAUCUGCCUUCAGGUCUGGGACAACCACUGGAAACGGUGGCUAAUACCGGAUGUGCCUUUACGUAAAAGAUUUAUCGCCUGAAGAUGAGCUCGCGUCUGAUUAGCCAGUUGGUAGGGUAAAAGCCUACCAAGGCAACGAUCAGUAGCUGGUCUGAGAGGAUGAUCAGCCACACUGGAACUGAGACACGGUCCAGACUCCUACGGGAGGCAGCAGUGGGGAAUUUUCCGCAAUGGGCGAAAGCCUGACGGAGCAAGACCGCGUGAGGGAGGAAGGCUCUUGGGUUGUAAACCUCUUUUGUCAGGGAAGAACACAAUGACGGUACCUGACGAAUCAGCCUCGGCUAACUCCGUGCCAGCAGCCGCGGUAAUACGGAGGAGGCAAGCGUUAUCCGGAAUUAUUGGGCGUAAAGCGUCCGCAGGUGGCUAUUCAAGUCUGCUGUCAAAGCACAGGGCUUAACCCUGUCAAGGCGGUGGAAACUGAAUGGCUAGAGAGAGGUAGGGGUAGAGGGAAUUCCCAGUGUAGCGGUGAAAUGCGUAGAGAUUGGGAAGAACAUCGGUGGCGAAAGCGCUCUACUGGACCUCAUCUGACACUCAGGGACGAAAGCUAGGGGAGCG
Molecule: ribosomal RNA, 616 nt
Filed under: uncultured cyanobacterium
Lineage: Bacteria; Bacillati; Cyanobacteriota
Description: bacterial SSU rRNA
Rfam family: Bacterial small subunit ribosomal RNA
Source: RNAcentral